RNAcentral lists this small RNA (162 nucleotides) under human gut metagenome. RNAcentral's name for it is "Clostridiales-1 RNA". It matches the Rfam family "Clostridiales-1 RNA". The record is from RNAcentral.
CAGGGUCAAAAGAUUAUGCAGGCUCGUUGAGCUUGCUCAUAAGAGGCUGUAUAAAUCUUGUUGACCCGCCAAACCAUUCGAAAGUAGCCAUUUUUACGAAAAAUGAGCGGAUUUCGAAUGGUUUGAAGGAUUUCGGGAGCACAGGGUGCGGAGAAAUCCGGG